RNAcentral lists this ribosomal RNA (492 nucleotides) under Triticum aestivum (bread wheat). RNAcentral describes it as "partial small subunit ribosomal RNA". Lineage: Eukaryota; Viridiplantae; Streptophyta; Magnoliopsida; Poales; Poaceae. The record is from RNAcentral.
AUGACAUGAUGCAGGUGGUUAACAUUCCAGGCUUGUGCUUUUAGAGGGCAUGAUGAAUCUCCGGGAUCCAUUAACCGGGGUAAUUUCCUAGAACUGGUAAAACUUUUGGCUUCUUAUAACAAGGAGGUGAAAGAUGUUGUCUUGGAAAAUGCUCCUGGAAACACAAAGUACACAUCUCAUCAGGUUCAAGAGGAAAUUCUUGCUAUACUUUCUCGAAAGGUGCAAAGAACAAUUAGAGAAGAAAUUGGUGAUAGCAAAUUUUGUAUAAUGGUUGACGAAGCUCGUGAUGAAUCCAAGAAAGAGCAAAUGGUGUUGGUCCUCCGGUUUCCUGACACUGAAGGGUUCAUACAGGAGCGUUUUGUUGAUGUCAUUCAUGUGAAUGACACUCUUGCAUUGACUCUCAAGGAGACAAUUUGCACUGUUCUAGCAGAUAACAAUUUAAAUGUGGAAGAUAUCAGAGGUCAGGCCUAUGACGGGGCCAGUAAUAUGUGA